GAGCCCGCACAAGCAGUGGAGUAUGUGGUUUAAUUCGACGCAACGCGAAGAACCUUACCAGAGCUUGACAUCCCAGAAAAGGGCUUGUAAUGAGCUAAUGCCCUUCGGGGAAUCUGGAGACAGGUGGUGCAUGGUUGUCGUCAGCUCGUGUCGUGAGAUGUUGGGUUAAGUCCCGCAACGAGCGCAACCCUUACGGUUAGUUGCUAACGCGCCUUCGGGCGGCGAGCACUUUAGCCGGACUGCCGUUGACAAAACGGAGGAAGGUGGGGACGACGUCAAAUCAUCAUGCCCCUUACGCCCUGGGCUACACACGUACUACAAUGGCGCAAACAAAGGGAAGCGAUACCGCGAGGUGGAGCAAACCCCAUAAAAGGCGUCCCAGUUCGGACUGCAGGCUGCAACCCGCCUGCACGAAGUUGGAAUUGCUAGUAAUCGCGGAUCAGCAUGCCGCGGUGAAUACGUUCCCGGGCUUU
RNAcentral lists this ribosomal RNA (473 nucleotides) under uncultured bacterium. Its description in RNAcentral is "bacterial SSU rRNA". It matches the Rfam family "Bacterial small subunit ribosomal RNA", at positions 917 to 1382 of the family's 1533-position model. The record is from RNAcentral.